AGAGUUUGAUCCUGGCUCAGGAUGAACGCUGGCGGCGUGCCUAAUACAUGCAAGUCGAGCGGUAACACUUCGGGUGACGAGCGGCGGACGGCAGAGUAACGCGUAGGAAUGUACCCCAAACUGAGGGAUAAGCACCGGAAACGGUGUCUAAUACCGCAUGAUAUCUUCGGAUUAAAGCUUCGGCGGUUUGGGAGCGGCCUGCGUAUGAUUAGCUUGUUGGUGAGGUAAUAGCUCACCAAGGCGACGAUCAUUAGCUGGUCUGAGAGGAUGAUCAGCCUGACUGGAACUGAGAACGGUCCAGACUCCUACGGGAGGCAGCAGUAGGGAAUUUUCCGCAAUGGACGAAAGUCUGACGGAGCAACGCCGCGUGCAGGAGGAAGGCCUUCGGGUCGUAAACCUCUUUCAGGCGGGACGAAGCCACUCGGGUUAAUAGCCCAGAGGGUGACGGUACCGUCAGAAGAAGCCCCGGCUAACUACGUGCCAGCCGCCGCGGUAAUUC
RNAcentral lists this ribosomal RNA (499 nucleotides) under uncultured bacterium. RNAcentral describes it as "bacterial SSU rRNA". It matches the Rfam family "Bacterial small subunit ribosomal RNA", at positions 8 to 526 of the family's 1533-position model. The record is from RNAcentral.